This 433-nucleotide ribosomal RNA is filed under the name uncultured bacterium. RNAcentral describes it as "partial 16S ribosomal RNA". It matches the Rfam family "Bacterial small subunit ribosomal RNA", at positions 29 to 507 of the family's 1533-position model. The record is from RNAcentral.
AGCGAACGCUGGCGGCAGGCCUAACACAUGCAAGUCGAACGGAUCCUUCGGGAUUAGUGGCGGACGGGUGUGUAACACGUGGGAACGUGCCCUUUGGUUCGGAACAACUCAGGGAAACUUGAGCUAAUACCGGAUGUGCCCUUCGGGGGAAAGAUUUAUCGCCAUUGGAGCGGCCCGCGUCUGAUUAGCUAGUUGGUGAGGUAACGGCCCACCAAGGCGACGAUCAGUAGCUGGUCUGAGAGGAUGAUCAGCCACACUGGGACUGAGACACGGCCCAGACUCCUACGGGAGGCAGCAGUGGGGAAUCUUGCGCAAUGGGCGAAAGCCUGACGCAGCCAUGCCGCGUGAAUGAUGAAGGUCUUAGGAUUGUAAAAUUCUUUCAGCGGGGACGAUAAUGACGGUACCCGCAGAAGAAGCUCCGGCUAACUUCGUG